This 244-nucleotide ribosomal RNA is filed under the name Platocoelotes paralatus. RNAcentral's name for it is "partial 12S ribosomal RNA". Lineage: Eukaryota; Metazoa; Arthropoda; Arachnida; Araneae; Agelenidae. The record is from RNAcentral.
CACGUUAAACUUUACUUUAUUUAAAAACUUAUAUACCGCCAUCUUCAGAUCAAAUUAAAAAAUACUUUCCAAAAAAACAUUAAAAAGUUAGGUCAAGGUGUAAUUAAUAUUAAAGAGUUAGAUAAAUUACAUUAAAUAUAAUUUAAAGAUUAUAAAUAAAUAUAAUUAUACAAAUUAGGAUUUAAAUGUAUUAUUAAAAUAAUAAUAUAAUAUGAUAUAAAUAAUAAAUGUGCACACAUCGCCC